Molecule: small nuclear RNA, 103 nt
Organism: Mus pahari (shrew mouse)
Lineage: Eukaryota; Metazoa; Chordata; Mammalia; Rodentia; Muridae
Source: RefSeq, a predicted model, not a curated record
AUGCUUGUUUAGGAGCAUGCAUAUUAAAAUUAGAAUGAGACAGAAGCUGGCAUGGCUCUUGUGCAAAGAUGACACACAAAUUCAUCCAAUGUUCCUUUUUUGU